GGCUGGGUAGCUCAGUCGGUAGAGCAGCGGACUGAAAAUCCGUGUGUCGGCGGUUCGAUUCCGCCCCCAGCCA
Methylacidiphilum infernorum V4 is the source of this 73-nucleotide non-coding RNA. The record is from Rfam. Lineage: Bacteria; Pseudomonadati; Verrucomicrobiota; Methylacidiphilae; Methylacidiphilales; Methylacidiphilaceae.